Molecule: ribosomal RNA, 428 nt
Filed under: uncultured bacterium
Lineage: Bacteria
Description: bacterial SSU rRNA
Rfam family: Bacterial small subunit ribosomal RNA
Source: RNAcentral
UCGAGAAUCAUUCACAAUGGGGGAAACCCUGAUGGUGCGACGCCGCGUGGAGGAUAAGGUCUUCGGAUUGUAAACUCCUGUCAUGCGAGAGCAAGAUUUGAGCGGGUAACUCCGCUGAAUUUGAUAGUAUCGCAAGAGGAAGAGACGGCUAACUCUGUGCCAGCAGCCGCGGUAAUACAGAGGUCUCAAGCGUUGUUCGGAAUCACUGGGCGUAAAGGGUGCGUAGGUGGCGUGGAAAGUCAGAUGUGAAAUCCGGGGGCUCAACCUCCGAAUAGCAUCCGAUACUCCCAUGCUAGAGAACUGGAGGGGGAUCUGGAAUUCUCGGUGUAGCAGUGAAAUGCGUAGAUAUCGAGAGGAACACUAGUGGCGAAGGCGAGAUCCUGGACAGUAUCUGACACUGAUGCACGAAGGUCAGGGGAGCAAACGGG